Long non-coding RNA from Musa acuminata AAA Group (dessert banana), 909 nucleotides. RefSeq lists it as uncharacterized. NCBI's taxonomy places the organism in Eukaryota, Viridiplantae, Streptophyta, Magnoliopsida, Zingiberales, Musaceae. The record is from RefSeq and is a predicted model, not a curated record. The transcript has 2 exons.
AAUCCUAGUGUAGCUAUACUGCGGGCAAGUUUUGUCUCUCAAAUGAGCAGUCCAGGUGAAAGGAAAGACAUGCUAUUUUCCUACUUGUAUAAUUUAACCUCAUGAGUUCAAGUUGCGAUGGAGUAACCCUUGUUCACGCUGCACAGGAAGAUACUGUUCUGUAGUCGAUGUGGAGAUGGGCGUAUGUUAUCCUCUCCUCUGUCCUGCCCAUCAACUUUUCCACCAGCAGAGAGAAAAUAUGAGAAAGAGGUCAAGGAAUGUUACAGAAGGAAGUCGUAAAGGUCAGUUUGGUGCCGCUUUUGCUGCCUCCCUUCCUGGAUACAACAGUGUCCAAGGCAUGGCAACCACCAUGUUCAUGUUCUCUUCCUGCCGCUUCAAUUAUUGAUGCCAUAUCUUCUUUUUCCCUUCAUAUGUUAUAUUACCCUGAGAGAGCUUGCUGAACUAAGACACACCACCAUGAACAAGCAGCUCUGUGCGAUGGUUUCCUGUGUCCUCGUGUUGGCUCUUCAUCUCCCUCGCGAGGCACCGGUAGAUAUGUCUGCCUCUCAAGAGCAGAGUCCAGGCAGGAAGCUACUGAAGGAGUCAGGUCUCUCAGCAGCAAACACCGAGGUGAUUCAGAGGAUGAAGGAACCAAAGCACGGAGAUGAGGAAGAGGAAGGCCACAUCUACAACGCGGACUACAGUCUAGUGGCUACUCAUCCUCCUCCACUCCCCAAGCGUCAUCCUAAGCCAUAGUCUUAGGUCGAUCGACAUACCAAAAUGGUCUUACUUUUUAUGCUUGUAGAAUGCAACUCCGCUGAAGUAUGUUUUGCUAUGUUCUUGUUUCAUGAAAGUUCUUGUGCUUCACCACAAGAUAUCGACAUAUUUGACCUACUGAGGGAUCUACAUGCCGGAUCCCAAUUGCCUCAA